GAUGAACGCUGGCGGCGUGCCUAAUACAUGCAAGUCGAGCGAACAGACGAGGAGCUUGCUCCUCUGACGUUAGCGGCGGACGGGUGAGUAACACGUGGAUAACCUACCUAUAAGACUGGGAUAACUUCGGGAAACCGGAGCUAAUACCGGAUAAUAUAUUGAACCGCAUGGUUCAAUAGUGAAAGACGGUUUUGCUGUCACUUAUAGAUGGAUCCGCGCCGCAUUAGCUAGUUGGUAAGGUAACGGCUUACCAAGGCAACGAUGCGUAGCCGACCUGAGAGGGUGAUCGGCCACACUGGAACUGAGACACGGGCCAGACUCCUACGGGAGGCAGCAGUAGGGAAUCUUCCGCAAUGGGCGAAAGCCUGACGGAGCAACGCCGCGUGAGUGAUGAAGGUCUUCGGAUCGUAAAACUCUGUUAUUAGGGAAGAACAAAUGUGUAAGUAACUAUGCACGUCUUGACGGUACCGAAUCAGAAAGCCACGGCUAACUACGU
RNAcentral lists this ribosomal RNA (496 nucleotides) under uncultured bacterium. RNAcentral's name for it is "partial 16S ribosomal RNA". It matches the Rfam family "Bacterial small subunit ribosomal RNA", at positions 28 to 506 of the family's 1533-position model. The record is from RNAcentral.